Molecule: ribosomal RNA, 253 nt
Filed under: uncultured bacterium
Lineage: Bacteria
Description: partial 16S ribosomal RNA
Rfam family: Bacterial small subunit ribosomal RNA
Source: RNAcentral
UACAGAGGUCCCAAGCGUUGUUCGGAUUCACUGGGCGUAAAGGGCGCGUAGGUGGUGGUGUAAGUCGGAUGUGAAAGCUCGGAGCUCAACUCCGAAAUGGCAUUGGAAACUACCCUGCUAGAGGAUUGGAGGGGGGACUGGAAUACUUGGUGUAGCAGUGAAAUGCGUAGAUAUCAAGUGGAACACCAGUGGCGAAGGCGAGUCCCUGGACAAUACCUGACGCUGAGGCACGAAAGCUAGGGGAGCAAACAGG